This 497-nucleotide ribosomal RNA is filed under the name uncultured bacterium. Its description in RNAcentral is "partial 16S ribosomal RNA". It matches the Rfam family "Bacterial small subunit ribosomal RNA", at positions 28 to 507 of the family's 1533-position model. The record is from RNAcentral.
GAUGAACGCUGGCGGCGUGCCUAAUACAUGCAAGUCGAGCGAACAGACGAGGAGCUUGCUCCUCUGACGUUAGCGGAGGGCGGGUGAGUAACACGUGGAUCACCUACCUAUCAGACUGGGAUAACUACGGGAAACCGGAUCUAAUACCGUAUAAUAUCUUGAACCGCAUGGUUCAAUAGUGAAAGACGGUUUUGCUGUCUCUUAUAGAGGGAUCCGGGCCGCAUUAGCUAGUUGGUAAGUUAACGGCUUACCAAGGCAACGAUGCGUGGCCGACCGGAGAGGGGGGUAGGCCACAUGGGAACUGAGACACGGUCAAGACUACUACGGGAGGCAGCAGUCGGGAAUCUUCCGCAAUGGGCGAAAGCCUGACGGAGCAAGGCCGCGUGAGUGAUGAAGGUCUUCGGAUCGUAAAGCUCUGUUAUUGGGGAAGAACAAAUGUGUAAGUAAACAUGCACGGCUUGACGGUACCUAAUCAGAAAGCAACGGCUAACUACGUG